UAUUGGACAAUGGGCGAAAGCCUGAUCCAGCAAUACCGCGUGUGUGAAGAAGGCCUUAGGGUUGUAAAGCACUUUCAAUUGGGAGGAAAACCUACCGGUCAAUACCCGGUAGCUUGACAUUACCUUUAGAAGAAGCGCCGGCUAACUCCGUGCCAGCAGCCGCGGUAAUACGGAGGGUGCGAGCGUUAAUCGGAAUUACUGGGCGUAAAGCGUGCGUAGGCGGUUCGUUAAGUCAGAUGUGAAAGCCCUGGGCUCAACCUGGGAACGGCAUUUGAAACUGGCGGACUAGAGUUUAGUAGAGGGGAGUGGAAUUUCAGGUGUAGCGGUGAAAUGCGUAGAUAUCUGAAGGAACACCAGUGGCGAAGGCGACUCCCUGGACUAGAACUGACGCUGAGUACGAAA
RNAcentral lists this ribosomal RNA (402 nucleotides) under uncultured bacterium. RNAcentral describes it as "bacterial SSU rRNA". It matches the Rfam family "Bacterial small subunit ribosomal RNA", at positions 362 to 758 of the family's 1533-position model. The record is from RNAcentral.